GAUGAAGAACGUAGCGAAAUGCGAUAAGUAAUGUGAAUUGCAGAAUUCAGUGAAUCAUCGAAUCUUUGAACGCACAUUGCGCCCGCCAGUAUUCUGGCGGGCAUGCCUGUUCGAGCGUCAUUUCAACCAUCAAGCCCCCGGCUUGUGUUGGGGACCUGCGGCUGCCGCAGGCCCUGAAAACCAGUGGCGGGCUCGCUGUCACACCGAGCGUAGUAGAUUUUCAUCUCGCUCAGGGCGUGCUGCGGGUUCCGGCCGUAAAAAGCCUUAUUUACCCAAGGUUGACCUCGGAUCAGGUAGGAAGACCCGCUGAACUUAAGCAUAACAAUCAGCGGAGGA
This 336-nucleotide unclassified non-coding RNA is filed under the name soil metagenome. RNAcentral's name for it is "partial contains 5.8S ribosomal RNA, internal transcribed spacer 2, and large subunit ribosomal RNA". The stretch from base 1 to 120 matches the Rfam family "5.8S ribosomal RNA", at positions 35 to 154 of the family's 154-position model. The record is from RNAcentral.